GUAGGUGGCAAGCGUUGUCCGGAAUUAUUGGGCGUAAAGCGCGCGCAGGCGGUCCUUUAAGUCUGAUGUGAAAGCCCACGGGCUCAACCGUGGAGGGUCAUUGGAAACUGGGGGACUUGAGUACAGAAGAGGAAAGCGGAAUUCCAAGUGUAGCGGUGAAAUGCGUAGAGAUUUGGAGGAACACCAGUGGCGAAGGCGGCUUUCUGGUCUGUAACUGAUGCUGAGGCGCGAAAGCGUGGGGAGCAAACAGGAUUAGAUACCCUGGUAGUCCACGCCGUAAACGAUGAGUGCUAAGUGUUAGGGGGUUUCCGCCCCUUAGUGCUGCAGCUAACGCAUUAAGCACUCCGCCUGGGGAGUACGGCCGCAAAGGCUG
Molecule: ribosomal RNA, 373 nt
Filed under: uncultured organism
Description: partial 16S ribosomal RNA
Rfam family: Bacterial small subunit ribosomal RNA
Source: RNAcentral